This 74-nucleotide transfer RNA is filed under the name Fusarium oxysporum f. sp. raphani 54005. It matches the Rfam family "tRNA". From Rfam's summary of the family: Transfer RNA (tRNA) molecules are approximately 80 nucleotides in length. Their secondary structure includes four short double-helical elements and three loops (D, anti-codon, and T loops). Lineage: Eukaryota; Fungi; Ascomycota; Sordariomycetes; Hypocreales; Nectriaceae. The record is from Rfam by way of RNAcentral.
GCCCGGUUAGCUCAAUCGGUAGAGCGUGAGACUCUUAAAUGAGUACACCAUCUCAAGGACCCCCGCAUCGGGCU